This 430-nucleotide ribosomal RNA is filed under the name Fusobacteriota bacterium. RNAcentral's name for it is "Fusobacteria bacterium partial 16S ribosomal RNA". It matches the Rfam family "Bacterial small subunit ribosomal RNA", at positions 355 to 776 of the family's 1533-position model. The record is from RNAcentral. Lineage: Bacteria; Fusobacteriati; Fusobacteriota.
UGGGGAAUAUUGGACAAUGGGCGCAAGCCUGAUCCAGCCAUGCCGCGUGUGUGAAGAAGGCCUUUUGGUUGUAAAGCACUUUAAGUGAGGAGGAGGCUACUUGGAUUAAUACUCUAAGAUAGUGGACGUUACUCGCAGAAUAAGCACCGGCUAACUCUGUGCCAGCAGCCGCGGUAAUACAGAGGGUGCGAGCGUUAAUCGGAUUUACUGGGCGUAAAGCGUGCGUAGGCGGCUUCUUAAGUCGGAUGUGAAAUCCCUGAGCUUAACUUAGGAAUUGCAUUCGAUACUGGGAAGCUAGAGUAUGGGAGAGGAUGGUAGAAUUCCAGGUGUAGCGGUGAAAUGCGUAGAGAUCUGGAGGAAUACCGAUGGCGAAGGCAGCCAUCUGGCCUAAUACUGACGCUGAGGUACGAAAGCAUGGGGAGCAAACAGG